UAGGGAAUUGUUCGCAAUGGGCGCAAGCCUGACGACGCAACGCCGCGUGGAGGAUGAAGGGCUUCGGCUCGUAAACUCCUUUCGACCGAGAUGAAUACCCGCAGGGACAAUACCCUUGCGGACUGACAGUAUCGAGGGAAGAAGACCCGGCUAACUCCGUGCCAGCAGCCGCGGUAAUACGGGGGGGGCAAGCGUUGUUCGGAAUUACUGGGCGUAAAGGGUUCGUAGGUGGUCAACUAAGUCAUGCGUGAAAUCCCUCAGCUUAACUGGGGAACUGCGUCUGAUACUGGUUGACUUGAGUGCAGGAGAGGGAUGCGGAAUUCCAGGUGUAGCGGUGAAAUGCGUAGAUAUCUGGAGGAACACCGGUGGCGAAGGCGGCAUCCUGGACCGGCAUUGACGCUGAGGCGCGAAAGCUAGGGGAGCAAA
RNAcentral lists this ribosomal RNA (426 nucleotides) under uncultured bacterium. Its description in RNAcentral is "bacterial SSU rRNA". It matches the Rfam family "Bacterial small subunit ribosomal RNA", at positions 355 to 772 of the family's 1533-position model. The record is from RNAcentral.